RNAcentral lists this small RNA (29 nucleotides) under Bombyx mori (domestic silkworm). Its description in RNAcentral is "ovarian small RNA-25262". The record is from RNAcentral. Lineage: Eukaryota; Metazoa; Arthropoda; Insecta; Lepidoptera; Bombycidae.
UCACGAUCAGCUUGGACGUCAAUAUUGGU